Molecule: small nucleolar RNA, 149 nt
Filed under: Gouania willdenowi (blunt-snouted clingfish)
Lineage: Eukaryota; Metazoa; Chordata; Actinopteri; Blenniiformes; Gobiesocidae
Source: RNAcentral
CUUCGGUGAUGAUACGAUGACGAGACGGAGCAGGACUCGCUCUGCUUCUGAGGGUUCUGGAGCUCGUGCACGUUCUGUGCAUGUGUUUCAGUCCCUCAGAGCAGAGAGUCCUUUACACCUGAAGACAAAGAGGCAUUUGUCUGAGAAGG